This 253-nucleotide ribosomal RNA is filed under the name uncultured bacterium. Its description in RNAcentral is "partial 16S ribosomal RNA". It matches the Rfam family "Bacterial small subunit ribosomal RNA", at positions 524 to 776 of the family's 1533-position model. The record is from RNAcentral.
UACGUAGGGUGCGAGCGUUAAUCGGAAUUACUGGGCGUAAAGCGUGCGUAGGCGGUUCGUUAAGUGCGUCGUGAAAGCCCCGGGCUCAACCUGGGAAUGGCGAUGGAAACUGGCGGGCUGGAGUAUGGCAGAGGGGGGUGGAAUUCCGCGUGUAGCAGUGAAAUGCGUAGAGAUGUGGAGGAACACCGAUGGCGAAGGCAGCCCCCUGGGCUAACACUGACGCUCAUGCACGAAAGCGUGGGGAGCAAACAGG